CAAUGGCGUAUAUUAAAGUUGUUGCAGUUAAAAAGCUCGUAGUUGGAUUUCUGGCAGGAGCGACCGGUCGGCCCAAGUGGUGUGUACUAGUGUUGCAUCUGGCCAUAUUUGCGGAGAGCGUGUGUGGCAUUAAUUUGUCGUGCACGGGACCCGCAUCGUUUACUGUGAGAAAAUUAGAGUGUUCAAAGCAGGCUUAUGCCUUGGAUAUGUUAGCAUGGAAUAAUAGAAUAGGACUUUGGUUCUAUUUUGUUGGUUCUAGGACCGAAGUAAUGAUUAAUAGGGACAGUUGGGGGCAUUAGUAUUUAAUUGUCAGAGGUGAAAUUCUUGGAUUUAUGAAAGACUAACUACUGCGAAAGCAUUUGCCAAGGAUGUUUUCAUUAAUCAAGAACGAAAGUUAGGGGAUCGAAGACGAUCAGAU
RNAcentral lists this ribosomal RNA (418 nucleotides) under uncultured eukaryote. RNAcentral describes it as "bacterial SSU rRNA". It matches the Rfam family "Eukaryotic small subunit ribosomal RNA", at positions 592 to 1013 of the family's 1831-position model. The record is from RNAcentral.